Molecule: small nuclear RNA, 103 nt
Filed under: Sorex araneus (European shrew)
Lineage: Eukaryota; Metazoa; Chordata; Mammalia; Eulipotyphla; Soricidae
Source: RNAcentral
UUGCUCACUUUAGGAGUAUAUACACUAAAAUUGGAAUCUUACAUAAAUUAGCCGGCCCCUGGGCAAGGAUGAUAUGCAAAUUUGUGAAGUGUCCCAUAUAUUU